Molecule: long non-coding RNA, 1976 nt
Filed under: Triticum aestivum (bread wheat)
Lineage: Eukaryota; Viridiplantae; Streptophyta; Magnoliopsida; Poales; Poaceae
Description: long non-coding RNA (TAES_LNC002047)
Source: RNAcentral
AAAUAUUUGAACCUAUUGCAACACACGGGCAAAUUAUAUUACAUAAAAAUUACAAUUGACCUCCGGCAUUGAGCAUCGUGCCUGAUGACUUUCGGCUCUCAGCCGUGUUAGCUAUAUUCAGUCCAUACUUUGUCAGUGCUUGCUUGCUGCUGUCUUGGCUUCAGUUCAGUCCCGCACAAUCACUUGGCUUUGCAAGCUUCAGCUCAUCUUCUUCAGUUUGAAGAUUUUUCUCCAUUGACUAAUUCAGGUCGAUGUCAUACACUACAUGCACCCUUCACCGAUUUUAUACCAAACACAUACAUGCCUACCAAAACUCUUAAAAAUACAGCAUUGUCCAACGAACGGGACAAGAUUAUUCAAGAGUUCACAAUUAGAAACUGUACAAGAAAAUAAUAUGUACAGCGCUGCCCAUAUGGCAUCUUUCAAUCCUGGGCUGACGUCUCAUCAACCUGAGAAUGCUGUGCAUAAGGCUGCAAAAAAAAGGGAACAUAAGGUCAGCUCGAUUUCAACAUAUGUGUGGGACUAAAACACGACCCUACAAACUUCUCUUCUUGUUUUGCUAGGAUAGUAAAAAUACCAAAAUACUAGACGGCGGCAAAAUUAAGACUGCAUAUACUCGAGUCAGUCCACUUAAUCUAUGCCACUGACAGAAAAACAAGCAUGCGGUGAUGCAGCAAGACUGACGAUGCAUAUAAACUGUAGUACCUUGGGAACUGACGAUGCAUAUUAAGUCAAGUUGUUAUGUUGCGAAAUGCAGAUGUACGCAGAUUAUCAACAGGCGGAUAUUUAAGUUCCGAGAUAUCUAUGCUAUAGCUUCAAAAAAGUGUUCUGUGUAACAAUAACAUAAUAUGAGAAGUCACACUAUAUCAGCUGCCAGAUCCAAACCAGAGGGUCCAAAAUUGUCUAGUGCAUUCUGUAGUAUUCCAAUUAUUAGUUAUGCACGGGGUGCAGAUAUACCACUAACCAAUAUUUACGGUAACCUUAUAACGGUAUGCGCAAUAUCCCAUAUGUACAUAUAUAUUAACAAUGGUAGUGCUGUGGAAAAACCUAUCAGUAGGCUUAGUACUGUGUGCUCAUACGAAUCAAUGUAGUUAAUUGGCUUCUGGAACAAACAUUGAAGGUAGCACGUGCAGGUGAACACCACUUGACAACAAUGGCAAGAUUCUGUGGUGUGUAGAAUCCUACGGGAAAAGGGGUGUAGGAAUACAAUUCACAGAAAUUAUGAUGGUCUCAUUACUUUGAUCAAGGGUAUCCAUGAACAAUCCAACGGAAUAAAACCCUAUGGAUUCAACUGCGUAACAAUAAUAUUCCAAAACAGGCGAAAGGUGCAAAUUACUUGUCAUUUUAGCCAAAGAGAACAGAACACGGAAGGAUCAUCUUUUUCUUAUUUGUAUUCAGGUCCAAACUACUUGACAUUUUGAAAAAGCAAUGUUGUUGGUCUACGUUACCACUUAUUUCAACAGUAAAGAAGCGUACCAUGCUAUCCUGGGUUGGAGUUAUAGCAUGCAUGUUAUAAUUCCCAAUCAAGGUAUAGUAGUAGUCAUUCUGGAUUGAUAUUUGAUCAGCAUGAGAAUACUGUCCAUCAAACUGCAAGCAAAAGGAAAUAUAAGAUCAGUUUACUUGCAAUAUAUGUGGCAACUAAAACAUGGAAAUCCUAGAUCAAUUGAAAAAUAAAAUAAAAUGUGGUGACGCAACAAGACCGAGGAUGAAUAUUAAUUGUAUAGUACCUCUAGCGUUGAGUUGCUUUCUGAAAACAGGUGGCGAGAAAUAGCAUCCAGAGAUGCAUCAUGAGGUGGCGGAGCAUCCCCGGAGGAAUAAAUCGAUUGCUGGCCAUAAAUAGUGUGUUCAAAGUCAUAUUGUUAUGUUCCGAAAUGCAGCUGUAAGCCAAUUAUCAACAGACAAAAACUGAAGUUCCAGAUAAUGUACGCUAAAUUCGCUCCAAACAAGUGUUCUAUAUAACAAAAACAACAUGGGAG